CGCCUUUGAUUAAAGGAUCGGAAUCAGCGGCGAGGAUGAGGUGGUGGACGAUGGCGAUGGAGAGAGAGAAAAUGAUGAAGUAGAGUUGGAUAGGGCGGAGACGAGGGUGGUUGGAGGAUGGGAGAGGGUGGUAGGGUUUGGAUGUGUAGGUGUGGGGGGAUUUGAAGUAGCUUAGGGUUGUGAGAAUUAGGUGGUAGAGACCUAAUGAAAGGAGUGCUGAGGAUGAUAAUGCUUGGUAUAAUAAACUUCCCAUUUUGAUUUUGAUGGUGGCGGUGGUGGUGAUGAUGAAGCUACUAGUGUUUUUUGAAGUAGUAACGAGGAGAAGAGAUUAUGAUUGGUGGAUUGAUUAUUAUUUUGUUCUUUCUUUCUUUUUGGUCAAGAGAAACAAACAAGAGAAAGAGAGGAUGGAUCAUUUUUUUGGAUCCUCAUUUUCUUUCCAUCACUUUGUUCUCUUCUUUUUUUUCUUACCAAAAAGUAGUGCAGAUAAAGUGGCAACUAUUUUAUUAAUUUUAUAUUUAAAAUAUAUAUUUUUAUAUUAAAAUAUAUAUAUAUAUAUAUAUUAUAUUAUAUAUUAUAUAUAAUUAUAUAUAUAUAUAUUACUAUAUUAUAUAAUUUUAGUAUAUCCAUAGCUAGAUGAAUGUUUAAUUUUAUAUAAAUAUUAUAUAUAUUAUAUAUUUAUAUUAUUUAAUAUAUAAUUAAUGGAAAAUAUAUACACACACAAAUAUAACCUUCUAACUUGCAUUUUUCUUUUUGAUCUUUAUCUUCUAAUUUUCAAUUCUUAAGGAAAGGAACGUGAUAACUUGGAAUUUAACAUAAAUAUAAAUAAAAUAUUGUUAAUGUGAUAAUUCUUUUUUAAUAGAAACUUUUAUUAAUUAUUUGGUUUAUAACUUGUAUCUUUAAUUGCAAGUAACUUGUAUCUAUAGUUGAGCUUAAAUUUCAAUCUUACUAAAUAUUUUAAUAAAUUAUAUAACUACGUUGUCUUAUAUCACAAUGUUUCAUUACAAAUCUCUUAACAAAUCUUUAUUUAUACUAACAAAAACACACAAAAAAAAACUUUUGGAAUUGGAUGUGGCUCGAGAAGGGAUGUUAAAAUACACACAAACAGUUUGCUAUUGGAAAAUUUGAUAAUUUGGGAUACAUAAUGCACAAAUUCUAUAUUAUAAAUCUAUAUAAAAAUUCAGAAUAGUUUUUUUUUUCUUUUUCUAAAAUUGCUUUACAUAUAUAAGUUAUUUCUUCCAACUUCCACUUCCUAAUGCUCACUUAAGACAUCAAACUGCUGGCUGCUGGACUUGGAAAGGCCGCAAUACACUCUUUCAACACAUUUCUUUUGGUCCAAACAAACACACUUCACACCACAACACAUUUGGACACCAACAGAAUAUGAAGAGAUUCAUGAAUUUAAAUCAAUCUUGAAAAAAUAAGGGAGUAAAAAAAAUGUCCAACUUAGUCGACCUUCCAAACUAAAUUAGGAGUACAAUGAGAAAGAUAACCAGCACCGCCACAAAAAUUAAAAGCACCCACCAACACUGCAAUGUAGAAAAAGUUAAAUUGAAGUUAUAUAUCAAAAGAGUCUACUUACUUGCUGGUGAUUAUAUCAGAGAAGUUCAACUGAAGUUAUAAAAUAGAAUUUAAAUAGGAUGCAUGUUAAAUAAUCUCAGAUUCUCUAAGAUGUCAUAUUAGAUCUCAAAAUAGCUUAUUAGUCUAUUAACAAAAGGUUAGAGCGGACUUUAAAAAUAGGUCUAUAACAUGUAAGAGGUCAGACUCAGGCCAAAUGAUUUCAAAGUAGAAAAUACUCGGAACUUGCAAAAUCCUAGCGUAUUCCCUCCUCUAGAUACUACCCUCGCAUUGCAUCUCCUUUUAUCUAUACGCAGCAAAUGAGCUGUGUGCAGAUGUGUAUGACAUGACAAAAAAAUCAGGGAAUUUUGUGCAAUUAUUGUUAGGAAUUAGAGGAGAAAAUCAUAUUCUGGAAAUAAUGGCCAAUAGCAAGCAUGAAAUGGACAGCAUAACAUUCCAAUCUUUAUGACUCACCCAUUUAUUUUUGGAUUUCACACUUUUGGAAGCUUUGACUAGCUGGACCUUACCUUGAGCUGUUGCACCAGCAGAAGUAUCUAUAUUUGAUUGAAUGUCAUCUGCCAGAAUGUCACAAACAAAAUAUGAAUAAAAGUAAUAGCUAAAUUUUGUUGCAACAAAAUGAAAUCUAUAUUUACUCUAUUAUGUAGAACGGUAGUUUUAUUUACCAAUAACAAUCCCCUGAUCAUGAACCAAAACAGCAAGGUCCUUGAAUAUUUCAUUUGCUUCUCCAAUUUGCUCUUCAAUCUCUCUAAGACCCUGAUCUCUUUCUUCAAUCAUGGCUUCAUUGAAGGAUAUUUCAUUAUCCAAUAGAACUAUCUCUUGCCUGCAGUUUUAUUUCAGUGAUCAAGCAAAUAAGACCAUGAAAUAUCAUCUCAAAAAUCUUUCUGAAAAAACAAGAGUUGAAUAAGCCAAUAAUAAGAUAUGCAUCUUUGUAUUACAAAGAUACAAAUUGUUUACAAAUUUACAAUAAUAAGAUGAAGAAAUUUAAUUGGUCCAGGGAUAUAGUUGAAAUGUUGCUGACUAACCUCAUCUGCCCUCUGAUAAAAGGUUGGCUUUCCGGGUCUAUCUCAAUCGAUUCUUGACCAGGGCCAGAGCUGCUUACAAACACACAAAUGAUAUAGUAGAGUUCAAUAUUUGUUAAUGAAGAUAAAUAAGGUAAUCUGAAGGAGAUUCAUACAAAAAAAUCAGGUAUAAUUUGAUGUUUUUAGUCCCUAAAAAAUAACCAUUCAUCAACGUGAAGAUUUUACAGGAAUUAAACUUGAGCAGUCGUGAUUUUUUAAGGAUUAAAAACAUAUUUUUCCCAAUUCAAUGUACGAAGAAUGGUUGACCUUGUUGGUAAGUUAGAAGCAGGGGCAGCCGGAGUGUAAGUUGAUUCACGCUCAGAAGCAAGCUGUUGAACUUUCUGGAAUUCUUGCAAUGUGGUUUGGAAAUCUCUUGCCAACUUAGCAUCUUCAAUUUUCUUACUAGUCUGCUUAAUCAGAGUACAACAAACAAUGAGAGCAUAAAUAACCAACAUUCAUGAAAAAGCAUAUGGACUACUCCAAGAUAACAUCGCAAGGGUUAUCUUGCUAUAAUGUUUUCUUUUUAAAACUUGGCAUCCGGCAUUGAGACAGACUAAUCCAAUGAGAUCAAUUCCACCGUCCACUAGCAGGGGAGUCAUUUAAAGUCAGAGCAAAGCGUAUGGACUGACCCAACACAAGAAUUGUUAGCACCUAGCGGAAUUCGAAACUGAUACCUUGAGAGAAACACAGUCUCAUAACCCAAGCCUUCACCAUCAGGGCAACCCUUGCUAUCUUGAUAUAAUUAACUACUUUCCUACGGUUCAACAAGGCUUGCCUUUCAUGGAAAAUUAUAAUUUCCAAAUACAAGUUAGAAGCCAAAUUAUUUUCCCGUCUUUUCUAAGUAAUAAAGAAUGAUAUGAGCAAUUGUGUGUAAUCAAAAUUCAAAGUCACACAUGAAAUUUUUUUAUUUAAAAAAAAGGACAAAUUAACGAAGCAUACAUUGGCAUUAGCAUCACGAUGGGAUUCAGGCAAAGAUUUGAGUUUCGCAGAAGUAUCCUUCACAAGCUGCAAUAUCCUCUGUCUCGUAUUGUGCCUACAAACCAUAGCACAGUGAUAGAAUAAAAUGAAACAAAGCUAAAAAAAAAAAGUAAAUCCUAAAAAUAAACCUAAAAUAAGAAAUGCGAAGUUACAGUUUCUGACGGUGCUCUGGAGUAUCUUUAACGGUUCCAACGGAGUCAACGAGUCGCCGGAAAGUACCGACGGCGGUGUUGAUCUGGAAAAUUCCGGCAGCAACGGCUUGCGACGGUGACUGGGUUCGACGAGAAGGAGGAUUGGAACCACUUUGAAUAUCUUGAAAACUCAUGGCUGAAGUGAUUUUCUCAACUCAACUAUGAAAUGAAAUUAAAGUUAAUAAUUAUUGUCGAAUGAAUUGAGCACUCAAAGUAACGACUAAGCACUCUGUCCAGUCCCUACACCCACCUGUCUUUGGAUCAUAAAUUUUUUAAUAAUAAUAAUAAUAAUUAAAUAUGAAUUUUGAAUAAGUAAUUAUACAACAACUAUUAAAAUUCUCUCUUUUAUACUAAAAAAUUAAUAUAUUUUUAAGUUAUUUGGGAUGCUUGUUAAAAAAAGGUUUUUUGAAAUGCCGUGAGAGAAUACUGUGUAUAUUUUUUCCUUUGAAAUGCGGUAUAAUAAUACUGCAACAAACAAAAGUAGUUGAAGAUUUUUUGAAGCGUUGUAGUUGUAUCGUACUUAGUAGUUGGUAGAAAUUCGUUAGUAUUUAAAGUUGUCCUCCUCAUACUGCGUGUAACGUGUUCCUCGUGGGAGUGUUCUCGAGUUCCAUUCCUUUAUUUAUUUUUGCGGAUGGAAUGGAAUGUGGUGUAGUAGUAUGUAAGCCCCCCUCUCCCUUUUCUUUUCCCUUUGUUCUUUACAUGUAUACACGUAGACGUAGGUUCUUUUGAGAUUAAACUUUUACAAAAAAUUUACAACGCUUUUAAAUCGGCCAUGUGAUUAAUGUUGAAUAUAAUGGAAUUCAAAUUUAACAUAGUUAGCAUUUAAGUGAGUAUAUAUUUAUGUUUGAAUUUCAUUUGAGUUAUCGUAUAAAAGAUAAAGUUAAUUGGAAAUUCCAAAGUUAAUUGGAGAUUAUAACUAAAUUAAAAAUUUGGAAAAUAUAGUUUGAAAGUUAGUUAUAAAUUUUGUUCUUUCUAUUUUUUUGCAUUCUUUCUUCUUUAUCUUUAAUUCUUGUACAUCGAUGGAGAUCUAAUGUAGAUUUCGAUAAUUAGUAUAGAGAGCUUCGAUUCUGAUUCACAUGGAAACACGAGUGUUGUAAGGUGUGUGAUUGAUUUCGUUCCUGAAAUUUGCGUUGAAUUGAAGUUCGGAAUCGAAGAGAAUCACAGAUCUUGAUUCUCAAGAUUUGAGAAACACUAGUGUUUGUGAAAAUUGCGUGAUUUGCAUAAUAACGAAGAUGAACGGCGAAAAUAGUAGCUUGAGUACAAAGCUUUUAGUAUUUGACAGAAAGAAUUGGAACAAUGGUCGAUUCAUAUGGGUGUGUUGUUUGAAGUUCAAGAUGUUCUUGAUCUCGUCAAUGACGAUUACACACCAAUUGUAGAAAAUGCAAUAAAAGCACAAAGAAGUGCGCAAUGUGAAAUGAGGAAGAAGGAUCAGAAGGCGUUGUUCUAAAUCCAUCAGUGUGUGGAUACGAAGAUGUUUGAGAAAAUGGUUGAUUCGGUGAAGGCGGCAUGAGAUACAUUUGUGCGGUGUUAUGGUGGUGGUGCAUCAGUGAAGAAGGUAAAGUUAUAGUCUUUACGCAAGCAAUAUGAGAACCUCAACAUGAAGAACAAUGAGAAGGUGUUUGAUUACAUCUCCAGAGUGAUUAUGGUCACAAAUGAUGAAGUCUUAUGGAGAAAUGCUCUCUAAAUAAGUAAUCAUUUAAAAGGUAUUGAGAUCACUUACUCCUCGGUUUGAUUACAUAAUAGAAGUCAUAGAACACUCUAAAGACACCAUCACCAUGAGAAUUGAAGAGCUUCAUAGUAGUUUAGAGGCAUAAGAGUUGCGUCUGACUGGAAGAAACUGUUGUGCCUUUAAACUACUAUGAAACUCUUCAAUUCUCAUGGUGUUAGUGUCUUUAGAGUAUUAUAUGGCUACUACUAUGUAAUCAAACUGAGGAGUAAGUGAUCCCAAUACCUUUUGAAUGAUUACUUGUCCAGUGAGCGUUUUUUCACAAGAUUUCAUCUCAUUUGUGACCAGAAUCAAUCUGGAGAUGUAAUCAGGCACCUUCUCAUUAUUCUUCAUGUUGAGAUUAUCAUAUUGCUUGCGUAGAGACUGCAACUUUACCUUCUUCACUGAUGUGUCACCGCUAUAGAACCGUAUCAGUGUAUGUAACAUGCUAAGAAAGCUCAGACGUUGAAAGCUUUUUUUGGCAAGAAGAACCAAAAGCAAGCAUGGCUAGAGAACAAGAAAAAGUAUGGUGGUGGUGUUCAAAAGUCAGAACUCUCCAACUCUAAAGAAAAGAAACAUAAGAAUGUUCAUAAGGGAAAAGAGAAGUUUGAUAAGAGAAAGGUUUAGUGUUAUAGUUGCAACAAGUUUGGCCAUUUUGCUGCAGAUUGUUGGUCAAACAAGGCUAGCCAUGGUGAAGAAGCCAACAUAGUCAAAGGAGAUUCUGAUGAAUGUGAUAUUGGUGGAAUUUGAGAAUGCAGGUGAAAAAUUGGUAGGUUGGUUGUAUAUGGACAUUGACUGCUUAAAUCACCUAAUUGGAAACAAGCAAUGGCUUAUUGAUUUUGACUCUGAUAAAAGGACCAAGAUCAGAUGUGAUGAUCAUGAGUAUUUGAGUGAUAAAUGAAUGGGAAAUGUCAGAUUAAAAUUGAAAAAUGGUAAAACUAUACUGAUUAAGGAUGUCUGGUAUGUUCCUGGCAUGAAUAGGAAUUUGAUGAGUGUAGGUCAACUGAUUAAAAAUGGUUUUUCAAUAACCAUGAAGGACAAUCUCUUGAAGUUGUAUGACUGUAAUCAGAAGUUGAUUAUGCAGUCUGAAUUGGGAAGAAAUAGGAUAUUCAAGGUGAAUGUUGCAAUAGCAGACACUCCCUUAAUGCCUGAGUGCUAAAAGUGUUGAAGGGGAAAGUGAGUUAUGGCACAAGAGAUUGGGGCAUCUGAACUACAAAAGCUUUGGGAAUUUUAGUUCAAAGAAUCUGGUACAUGGAAUUCCUAAAAUUGUGGCACCAGAGAAAUCAUGUGAUAUAUGCAUGAGAAGAAAGCAACCAAGAUUGUCAUUCUCUCCUGAAAUGCCUCUAAUAGCAACGCAUGUUUUGGGUGUGGUGAAUUUUGAUGUAUGUGGGCCAUUUUAGGUACCUUCACUUGGAGGAAACAAUUACUUUGUGUCAUUUAUGGAUGAGUUCACAAGAAUGAUAUGGGUAGCACUCAUAAAGUUCAAACAUGAGAUGUUUGUUGAGUUCAAGAAAUUCAAAGUGAAGGCUGAAAAUCAAAGUGGACAAAGAUUGGAGAUCCUCAAGACCGAUAGUGGAGGUGAUUUCAAUUCAACAGAGUUCAAGAAGUUAUAAGGAACAUGGUAUUAAGCAUGAGGUGACUACUUCAUACACUCCACAACAUAAUGUUCUUGUUGAAAGGAUGAAUAGAACUUUGUUUGACAUGACAAAGAGCAUCCAAAAUGAGAAGAAUCUACCUCACACAUUGUGGGGUGAAGCAAUUGCCACAGAAGCAUAUGUGCUCAAUAAAUGUCUAACAAAGAAGUUAAAGGAAGUAGUUCUUAUUGAGCAGUGGAUUUGAAGAAAGAAAAGUGUUAGCCAUUUCAAAGUGUUUGGUUUUGUAUGUUACAAACAUAUUCCGGAUGCUACUAUAAGGAAAUUGGAUGACACAAGCAGAGUCAUGAUACUUAUAGGUUACCACAGUACAGGUACUUAUAAACUUUAUUGCCCAGUCACCAACAAGGUUGAAGUCAUCAGGGAUAUCAUAGUGAAAGAAUAAAAAAUAUGGGAUUUGAGCAAGUCUCAAUCCAACUAUAGUGUAGUGUUAACACUAGAGUCUGAUUUUGCCUCUGAAGGAUAUUUUUCCUCUAAAGGAGAUUCUGCCUUUGAAGGUAAUUCUGACUCUAAAGAAGAGUCUGAAUCUGAAGAUGACUCUGACUCUGAAGGUGAGUCUAACUCUGAAGGUGAGUCUGA
Molecule: long non-coding RNA, 7738 nt
Filed under: Lathyrus oleraceus (garden pea)
Lineage: Eukaryota; Viridiplantae; Streptophyta; Magnoliopsida; Fabales; Fabaceae
Description: Pisum sativum (pea) long non-coding RNA (PSAT_LNC010048)
Source: RNAcentral